GUCUACAGCCAUAACACUCUGACUGCACAUGUUCUUGACCCAUCUCAGAAGCUAAGCGGGGUUGAGCCGGGUUAGUGCUUGAAUGGCAGAGUGAACUAGAGACUGGGUCUUGGAUU
This 116-nucleotide ribosomal RNA is filed under the name Meriones unguiculatus (Mongolian gerbil). The record is from RNAcentral. Lineage: Eukaryota; Metazoa; Chordata; Mammalia; Rodentia; Muridae.